AGGGCAAGUCUGGUGCCAGCAGCCGCGGUAAUUCCAGCUCCAAUAGCGUAUAUUAAAGUUGUUGCAGUUAAAAAGCUCGUAGUUGAAUUUCGGGGUUAGUAGGUUGGUCAUGCCACUGGUAUGUACUGAUCUUACUGAUUCCUCCUUCCUGAUGAACCGUAAUGCCAUUAAUUUGGUGUUGCGGGGAGACUGGACUGUUACUUUGAAAAAAUUAGAGUGUUUAAAGCAGGCUAACGCUUGAAUACAUUAGCAUGGAAUAAUGAAAUAGGACGUUCGAUCCUAUUUUGUUGGUUUCUAGGAUUGACGUAAUGAUUAAUAGGGAUAGUUAGGGGCAUUAGCAUUCAAUUGUCAGAGGUGAAAUUCUUGGAUUUAUUGAAGACUAACUACUGCGAAAGCAUUUGCCAAGGAUGUUUUCAUUAAUCAAGAACGAAAGUUAGGGGAUCGAAGACGAUCAGAUACCGUCGUAGUCUUAACCAUAAACUAUGCCGACUAGGGAUCGGAUGAUGUUAAUUUUUUAAUGACUCAUUCGGCGCCUUACGGGAA
RNAcentral lists this ribosomal RNA (543 nucleotides) under uncultured Glomeromycotina. RNAcentral's name for it is "SSU rRNA". It matches the Rfam family "Eukaryotic small subunit ribosomal RNA", at positions 552 to 1096 of the family's 1831-position model. The record is from RNAcentral. Lineage: Eukaryota; Fungi; Glomeromycota.